Molecule: small RNA, 108 nt
Filed under: Hoeflea phototrophica DFL-43
Lineage: Bacteria; Pseudomonadati; Pseudomonadota; Alphaproteobacteria; Hyphomicrobiales; Rhizobiaceae
Description: Alphaproteobacterial sRNA ar35
Rfam family: Alphaproteobacterial sRNA ar35
Source: Rfam by way of RNAcentral
AUACUGAUAAACAAAGGAAUUUGUCUCCACGCUGACCACGGAUGUACUGGCAGAUGUGUCGAGGCAAGGCAGGAAGGUCGGUGCGAGUUUCGCCCGGCCUUUUUCUUU